UACGGAGGGUGCGAGCGUUAUUCGGAAUUACUGGGCGUAAAGCGCGUGUAGGCGGGGAGACAAGUCUGAUGUGAAAGCCCUGGGCUUAACCUGGGAAGUGCAUUGGAAACUGUUUUUCUUGAGUACUGGAGAGGAAGGGGAACUCCCGGUGUAGAGGUGAAAUUCGUAGAGAUCGGGAGGAAUACCAGUGGCGUAGGCGCCCUUCUGGACGGUAACUGACGCUGAGACGCGAAAGCGUGGGGAGCAAACAGG
This 252-nucleotide ribosomal RNA is filed under the name uncultured prokaryote. Its description in RNAcentral is "partial 16S ribosomal RNA". It matches the Rfam family "Bacterial small subunit ribosomal RNA", at positions 524 to 776 of the family's 1533-position model. The record is from RNAcentral.